RNAcentral lists this ribosomal RNA (120 nucleotides) under uncultured bacterium. RNAcentral's name for it is "partial 16S ribosomal RNA". It matches the Rfam family "Bacterial small subunit ribosomal RNA", at positions 796 to 913 of the family's 1533-position model. The record is from RNAcentral.
CACCCCGUAAACGUUGGGAACUAGUUGUGGGGACCAUUCCACGGUUUCCGUGACGCAGCUAACGCAUUAAGUUCCCCGCCUGGGGAGUACGGCCGCAAGGCUAAAACUCAAAGGAAUUGA